AACUGCUCAGUAACACAUGAUCAACUUACCCUAUAGAGGAAAAUAACCUCGGGAAACUGAGGAUAAUGUUCCAUAGUUGAAUCGGCUUGGAAAAGUUUUUCAAUUAAAGGGAUAAGGAAAAUGGUUCUUAUCUGCUAUAGGAUAGGAUCGUGCCCGAUUAUGGUUGUUGGUGAGGUAAAGGCUCACCAAGCCGAUAAUCGAUAGGGGCCGUGAGAGCGGGAGCCCCGAGAUGGGUACUGAGACAACGACCCAGGCCUUACGAGGCGCAGCAGGCGCGAAACCUCCGCAAUACACGAAAGUGUGACGGGGUUACCCAAAGUGUUCUAUUUAGAACUGUGGUAGGUGAGUAAUGUCCCCUACUAGAAAGGAGAGGGCAAGGCUGGUGCCUGCCGCCGCGGUAAAACCAGCUCUUCAAGUGGUCGGGAUAAUUAUUGGGCUUAAAGUGUCCGUAGCCGGUUUAGUAAGUUCCUGGUAAAAUCGGGUAGCUUAACUAUCUAUAUGCUAGGAAUACUGCUAUACUAGAGGGCGGGAGAGGUCUGAGGUACUACAGGGGUAGGGGUGAAAUCUUAUAAUCCUUGUAGGACCACCAGUGGCGAAGGCGUCAGACUGGAACGCGCCUGACGGUGAGGGACGAAAGCCAGGGGAGCGAACCGGAUUAGAUACCCGGGUAGUCCUGGCCGUAAACGAUGCAUACUAGGUGAUGGCUCGGCCAUGAGCCGUGUCAGUGCCGUAGGGAAACCGUUAAGUGUGCCGCCUGGGAGGUACGGUCGCAAGGCUAAAACUUAAAGGAAUUGGCGGGGGAGCACCACAAGGGGCGAAGCCUGCGGUUCAAUUGGAGUCAACGCCGGA
RNAcentral lists this ribosomal RNA (849 nucleotides) under uncultured archaeon. Its description in RNAcentral is "bacterial SSU rRNA". It matches the Rfam family "Archaeal small subunit ribosomal RNA", at positions 83 to 922 of the family's 1478-position model. The record is from RNAcentral.